RNAcentral lists this ribosomal RNA (377 nucleotides) under uncultured bacterium. RNAcentral describes it as "bacterial SSU rRNA". It matches the Rfam family "Bacterial small subunit ribosomal RNA", at positions 28 to 399 of the family's 1533-position model. The record is from RNAcentral.
GACGAACGCUGGCGGCGUGCUUAACACAUGCAAGUGGAGCGACGAACCGGGGCUUGCCCCGGGGCAGAGCCGCGAACGGGUGAGUAACACGUGGGUAACCCACCCCGAUGACCGGGACAACCCGAGGAAACUCGGGCUAAUACCGGAUGUGCUCCUUGACCUCGAGGUCAAGGCGUAAAGAUAGCUUCGGCCUUCGCAUCGGGACGGCCCGCGGCCCAUUAGCUUGUUGGUGGGGUAAAGGCCUACCAAGGCGACGANGGGUAGCUGGUCUGAGAGGACGAUCAGCCACACUGGGACUGAGACACGGCCCAGACUCCUACGGGAGGCAGCAGUGGGGAAUCUUGCGCAAUGCGCGAAAGCGUGACGCAGCAACGCCG